This 296-nucleotide long non-coding RNA is filed under the name Struthio camelus australis. Its description in RNAcentral is "lncRNA (ENSSCUG00000003145.1)". The record is from RNAcentral. Lineage: Eukaryota; Metazoa; Chordata; Aves; Struthioniformes; Struthionidae.
CUCAUAUGUCUUAGUGUUUUCCAUUUUUUUCUCUUUUCCAUUCACAGCAAUUUUUAACGUUCAGGUCUGCUUUCUUUACUACAAAGCUGAUAUCUUCACAGAACUGCUUCCCAGGACUCCCAGAUCUUACUUCUGAGAGUAAGCAAGCAAUAGAGCUGGAAAACUUGGCAGUGAACUCUUUCCUGCUUGUAUCCAUGGAACCUGGAUCUUACAAGAUGCACAGUCUGGAGCAGUGAAGUAGAGGAAGACUACCUCCUUGUCUAGAGGUGGACUACUACCACUGCCACCUACCACUA